UGGGGAAUCUUGGACAAUGGGCGCAAGCCUGAUCCAGCCAUGCCGCGUGAGUGACGAAGGCCUUAGGGUUGUAAAGCUCUUUUGCCGGGGACGAUAAUGACGGUACCCGGAGAAUAAGUCCCGGCUAACUUCGUGCCAGCAGCCGCGGUAAUACGAAGGGGACUAGCGUUGUUCGGAAUUACUGGGCGUAAAGCGCACGUAGGCGGAUUUGUCAGUCAGGGGUGAAAUCCCGGGGCUCAACCUCGGAACUGCCUUUGAUACAGCAAGUCUUGAGUCCGAUAGAGGUGGGUGGAAUUCCUAGUGUAGAGGUGAAAUUCGUAGAUAUUAGGAAGAACACCGGUGGCGAAGGCGGCCCACUGGAUCGGUACUGACGCUGAGGUGCGAAAGCGUGGGGAGCAAACAGGAUUAGAUACCCACGUAGUCCCUGAGCGGGCUGGCAAGGCGCAU
This 447-nucleotide ribosomal RNA is filed under the name uncultured bacterium. Its description in RNAcentral is "bacterial SSU rRNA". It matches the Rfam family "Bacterial small subunit ribosomal RNA", at positions 355 to 825 of the family's 1533-position model. The record is from RNAcentral.